RNAcentral lists this ribosomal RNA (699 nucleotides) under Triticum aestivum (bread wheat). RNAcentral's name for it is "partial small subunit ribosomal RNA". The record is from RNAcentral. Lineage: Eukaryota; Viridiplantae; Streptophyta; Magnoliopsida; Poales; Poaceae.
AUGCAAGUCGAAGAAGGAUUGGCCGAUGCUGCCGGCUGCGCCAAGUUCGAUCCCACGGAUCAGGAGCUGAUCGAGCACCUUGAGGCCAAAGUGAGUGCUGACAGCGCGAGAUCUCAUCCUCUCAUCGAUUUGUUCAUACCAACCAUCGACAGCGAGCACGACAUAUGCUACACCCAUCCUGAGAAACUUCCAGGUAUCAGACUGAGUGGCCUAAGAAAGCAUUUCUUCCAGCGCAAUUCUAGGGCGUUCAGAAGGGGCACGUGGACGCGUCGCAAGAUACAGUCGGAGUGCGGCAUGCAUGCGAUAUGGCACAAGACCGGCAAUACCUUGCCGGUGAUGGUCAACGGCCGGCAGACGGGCAGCAAAAAGGUUCUGGUGUUGCACACCAACAAGAACUUCGACCAGCAAAGGACCAACUGGGUGAUGCACCAAUACCACCUCGAGGACCUGGAGCAACAAAAGGAGCGGGAGCUGGUCCUCUGCAAGAUUUUCUACCAGCCGAACACUAGGGCCAGGAGUAAACAGAUUAUAAGUCGAGCAAGUUUCAACUGGGUUGUAGACUGCCCAGGCUUGGUUUUGUUUUUAACAGGCCCAGCCCAUGACGACAACAGGGCACAAAGAUCCAGCAGCUUUAUAUCCACGCCGACCCUCGGCAUGAAGGUUGGAAGAAAAUGCAAGUUCAUACCAAAAGAUCUUUAA